AUUGAACGCUGGCGGAAUGCUUUACACAUGCAGUCGAACGGCAGCACGGGGGCAACCCUGGUGGCGAGUGGCGAACGGGUGAGUAACACAUCGGAACGUGCCCAGUCGUGGGGGAUAACGUAGCGAAAGCUACGCUAAUACCGCAUACGAUCUACGGAUGAAAGCGGGGGAUCGCAAGACCUCGCGCGAUUGGAGCGGCCGAUGGCAGAUUAGGUAGUUGGUGGGGUAAAGGCUCACCAAGCCGACGAUCUGUAGCUGGUCUGAGAGGACGACCAGCCACACUGGGACUGAGACACGGCCCAGACUCCUACGGGAGGCAGCAGUGGGGAAUUUUGGACAAUGGGCGCAAGCCUGAUCCAGCCAUUCCGCGUGCAGGAUGAAGGCCUUCGGGUUGUAAACUGCUUUUGUACGGGACGAAACGGCUCUCUCUAAUACAGGGGGCUAAUGACGGUACCGUAAGAAUAAGCACCGGCUAACUACGUGCCAGCCGCCGCCGUAACAC
RNAcentral lists this ribosomal RNA (502 nucleotides) under uncultured bacterium. RNAcentral's name for it is "bacterial SSU rRNA". It matches the Rfam family "Bacterial small subunit ribosomal RNA", at positions 29 to 526 of the family's 1533-position model. The record is from RNAcentral.